CCUANGGGAGGCUGCAGUAACGAAUCUUCCGCAAUGCGCGAAAGCGUGACGGAGCAAUGCCGCGUGCAGGAUGAAGCCCUUCGGGGUGUAAACUGCUGUCAGGGUUUAGGAAGCACGUGACCAAACCCAAAGGAAGAGACGACUAACUCUGUGCCAGCAGUCGCGGUAAUACAGAGGUCUCGAGCGUUAGUCGGAGUCACUGGGCUUAAAGCGUACGUAGGCGGGCGCGCAGGCGUCGUGUGAAAUCCCUCAGCUCAACUGAGGAACUGCACGGCGAACCGCGCGUCUUGAGACAAGUAGGGGCGGUCGGAACGAUAGGUGGAGUGGUGAAAUGCGUUGAUAUCUAUCGGAAUGCCGAAGGAGAAAUCAGGCCGCUGGGCUUGUUCUGACGCUGAGGUACGAAAGCGUGGGUAGCGAACGGGAUUAGAUACCCCANUANUC
RNAcentral lists this ribosomal RNA (441 nucleotides) under uncultured bacterium. Its description in RNAcentral is "bacterial SSU rRNA". It matches the Rfam family "Bacterial small subunit ribosomal RNA", at positions 338 to 795 of the family's 1533-position model. The record is from RNAcentral.